GACGUAGGGUGCGAGCGUUGUCCGGAUUUAUUGGGCGUAAAGAGCGUGUAGGCGGCCAGGUAGGUCUGGUGUGAAAACUCGAGGCUUAACCUCGAGAUGUCAUCGGAAACCAUCUGGCUAGAGUCCGGAGGAGGAGAGUGGAAUUCCUGGUGUAGCGGUGAAAUGCGCAGAUAUCAGGAAGAACACCAAUGGCGAAAGCAGCUCUCUGGGACGGUACUGACGCUGAGACGCGAAAGCGUGGGGAGCGAACAGG
RNAcentral lists this ribosomal RNA (253 nucleotides) under uncultured bacterium. RNAcentral's name for it is "partial 16S ribosomal RNA". It matches the Rfam family "Bacterial small subunit ribosomal RNA", at positions 524 to 776 of the family's 1533-position model. The record is from RNAcentral.